This 460-nucleotide ribosomal RNA is filed under the name uncultured bacterium. Its description in RNAcentral is "partial 16S ribosomal RNA". It matches the Rfam family "Bacterial small subunit ribosomal RNA", at positions 338 to 795 of the family's 1533-position model. The record is from RNAcentral.
CCUACGGGAGGCAGCAGUGAGGAAUAUUGGUCAAUGGACGAGAGUCUGAACCAGCCAAGUAGCGUGAAGGAUGACUGCCCUAUGGGUUGUAAACUUCUUUUAUAUGGGAAUAAACUGUUCCACGUGUGGGUUUUUGUAUGUACCAUAUGAAUAAGGAUCGGCUAACUCCGUGCCAGCAGCCGCGGUAAUACGGAGGAUCCGAGCGUUAUCCGGAUUUAUUGGGUUUAAAGGGAGCGUAGGUGGAUUGUUAAGUCAGUUGUGAAAGUUUGCGGCUCAACCGUAAAAUUGCAGUUGAAACUGGCAGUCUUGAGUACAGGAGAGGUGGGCGGAAUUCGUGGUGUAGCGGUGAAAUGCUUAGAUAUCACGAAGAACUCCGAUUGCGAAGGCAGCUCACUGGACUGCAACUGACACUGAGGCUCGAAAGUGUGGGUAUCAAACAGGAUUAGAUACCCUAGUAGUC